UUUUUUUUUUUUUUUUUUUUUUGAGACCAAACAAGUUUUGCUCUUGUUGCCGGCUACGAUGCAAUGGCACGAUCUCGGCUCACUGCAACCUCUGCGUCCCAGGUUCAAGGGAUUCUCCUGCCUCGGCCUCCUGAGUAGCGGGACUAUUGGUGACUGCCACCACACCUGGCUAAUUUUUUGUAGUUUUAGUAGAGAUGGGGUUUCACUAUGUUGGCCAGGCUGGUGUCAAACUCCUGAGCUCAGGUGAUCCACUCACCUUGGCCUCCCGAAGUGCUGGGAUUACAAGCGUGAGCCACUGUACUCAACCUUAUUGACUGAUUUUUCUUGUUAUUCAGGAUUGGGAAAGGGACCAAUUUCCUGCGAGAUGGUGGGAAGGAAUUUCCUGGAAGCACAGUGGGCAGAAUAUUUCCUUAUGGUCUGACGGCAGCUGCCACAGCCCCCAGUCCCAGUCCUCAAUGACAGAGGCCUUGGGGCUUUCUUCUGCUCGCUCUUUCUUCAGAGAGGGAAGUCCCAGGAGUCUCUGCACACUUUCCCUUGUGUGUCAUGGGUGAGAACAGGACUGUAGCUUAUCAGGAGAAAAGGGGAAGAAGAUGCUAGCGGAGUUGGUCCAAGCCUGAUUCAUGCUGUGGGGAUGAGCAUGGCUCAGAUUCAAAGGACUUCUACCAGUGACAAUAUUGCUCAUAUGGCACUUCCCAACUCAACCCUCACGGCAAUCCUAUGAGGUGGUGCUACCAUCUUUGCUUUACAAAUGAGGGCAGUGUGGCCCAGAGAGGCCAAGAAGAUUACCUGGGAGCAUACAGCUACGGCAAAGAAGUAGAGCCAAAUCUGACCCAAGCUACCUGGCUCCAGGGUCGGCGUCCACACCCACUGUGCAGAAGUGUCUUCAAAGUGGGCACGGUGACCAGGCAGGGGGCCAGCUGGGGGGGUUGCCACAGUCAACUCUCAUUUCCAGCCGUAAGAGUCUCACAACGAAUAUCGCAGGGUGGUCUGUGGGUGUUAUGAUCCCCAUUUGACAGAUGAGGAGAUGGAGGCUUAGAGGUUAGUGCCUUGCCCCAGGGCAAGGUAAAGAGCUGGGAGUGCAGCUGAGACCUCUGAGAGCUGGACUACCUCUGUCUGGGCCCUUCUCCCUAUAAUAGUGGGACAUUUUUAUUAGGUGGCUCUGUUUGAUGAACACAAUGAGGUUGUCAAGAGAAGCAAGUUGCAAAAUGCUUGACUUCCCUUUGAAAUAUAAUUAUACGUAUACAUUAUAUUAUGAAUGAGACAAAAAUCUUCAUGCCCACGCAGGAGGCCAUGAGAUGCCCAAAGCGUUGGGAACCUCCCUGUACCUGGUGUUAGGACAGGGGCAAUGGAGACGAUUUCAGACAAGAUGGAUCAGGGAGACAGAUUCAUAGACCGGGGCUCAGGACCUUGGUGUCCCAUCCCUGGUGGAAGGGUUUGACUCCUGCUUUGGGGGCUUGGAGAUAACUUUUGAUGUGGCAGCAAGAACAUUGGCUUUGGAGCCAGAGAGUUUUGGGCUCAGUCACUGUUUCUACCAAAUCAUAAACUGUGGGGUGUGGGGUACAUUAUCUAAUCCUUCUGGGUCUCAGUAUUUUCAACUGUAAAAGGAAGUAGGAUAUACUUGUGAGGAUUUGUGGAGUUAUAUGGGUUAAAGGUUUUUUGUAAAACGCUCUGGAAAUUGUAAAAUGCUCUGGGAUUUUCUUAUUGUCACUUCAUCCAGAGAUGUCCAUGCUCUUCGGACU
RNAcentral lists this long non-coding RNA (1739 nucleotides) under Macaca fascicularis (crab-eating macaque). RNAcentral describes it as "lncRNA (ENSMFAG00000062549.1)". The record is from RNAcentral. Lineage: Eukaryota; Metazoa; Chordata; Mammalia; Primates; Cercopithecidae.